GUUUCCGUAGUGUAGCGGUUAUCACGUUAAGCCUCACACGAAAGGUCCCCAGUUCGAAACUGGGCGGAAACA
This 72-nucleotide transfer RNA is filed under the name Anguilla anguilla (European eel). RNAcentral's name for it is "tRNA-Val". The record is from RNAcentral. Lineage: Eukaryota; Metazoa; Chordata; Actinopteri; Anguilliformes; Anguillidae.